This 940-nucleotide ribosomal RNA is filed under the name human gut metagenome. RNAcentral describes it as "bacterial SSU rRNA". It matches the Rfam family "Bacterial small subunit ribosomal RNA", at positions 8 to 935 of the family's 1533-position model. The record is from RNAcentral.
AGAGUUUGAUCCUGGCUCAGGAUGAACGCUGGCGGCAUGCCUAAUACAUGCAAGUCGAACGAGAGGAAGGAAAGCUUGCUUUCCUGAAUCUAGUGGCGAACGGGUGAGUAACACGUAGGUAACCUGCCCAUGUGCCCGGGAUAACUUCUGGAAACGGAUGCUAAAACCGGAUAGGUAGCAGACAAGCAUUUGACUGCUAUUAAAAUGGCCUUGGCCAUGAACAUGGAUGGACCUGCGGUGCAUUAGCUGGUUGGUGAGGUAACGGCCCACCAAGGCGACGAUGCAUAGCCGGCCUGAGAGGGCGGACGGCCACAUUGGGACUGAGACACGGCCCAAACUCCUACGGGAGGCAGCAGUAGGGAAUUUUCGUCAAUGGGGGGAACCCUGAACGAGCAAUGCCGCGUGAGUGAGGAAGGUCUUCGGAUCGUAAAGCUCUGUUGUAAGAGAAAAACGGCACUCAUAGGGAAUGAUGAGUGAGUGAUGGUAUCUUACCAGAAAGUCACGGCUAACUACGUGCCAGCAGCCGCGGUAAUACGUAGGUGGCGAGCGUUAUCCGGAAUGAUUGGGCGUAAAGGGUGCGUAGGUGGCAGAUCAAGUCUGGAGUAAAAGGUAUGGGCUCAACCCGUACUGGCUCUGGAAACUGAUCAGCUAGAGAACAGAAGAGGACGGCGGAACUCCAUGUGUAGCGGUAAAAUGCGUAGAUAUAUGGAAGAACACCGGUGGCGAAGGCGGCCGUCUGGUCUGGAUUCUGACACUGAAGCACGAAAGCGUGGGGAGCAAAUAGGAUUAGAUACCCUAGUAGUCCACGCCGUAAACGAUGAGAACUAGGUGUUGGGGGAAUAACUCAGUGCCGCAGUUAACGCAGUAAGUUCUCCGCCUGGGGAGUAUGCACGCAAGUGUGAAACUCAAAGGAAUUGACGGGGGCCCGCACAAGCGGUGG